This 247-nucleotide ribosomal RNA is filed under the name uncultured bacterium. Its description in RNAcentral is "partial 16S ribosomal RNA". It matches the Rfam family "Bacterial small subunit ribosomal RNA", at positions 28 to 277 of the family's 1533-position model. The record is from RNAcentral.
GACGAACGCUGGCGGCGUGCUUAACACAUGCAAGUCGAGCGGUAAGGCCCUUCGGGGUACGACGAGCGGCGAACGGGUGAGUAACACGUGGGUGACCUGCCUCUAGCUCUGGGAGUAAGCCUGGGAAACGUGGGUCUAAUACCGGAUAUGACUCCACGGCGCAUGUUGUGGGGUGGAAAGCCUUGUGCGGCUAGAGAUGGGCCCGCGGCCUAUCAGCUUGUUGGUGGGUGAUGGCCUACCAAGCGAC